UUAAGUUCAGCGGGUAGUCCUACCUGAUUUGAGGUCUAAUUGAUCAGAAUGUCCUCGUGAAAGGACGAUUAGAAGCCAAACGACUUGAGCUACACAGUGACGACAUUAUCACACCGCAUAUAUGCUGCAAAUCAAAGUCCAGCUAAUGCAUUCAAGGGAAGCUGAUUGAAAACCAGCAAGUCCCCAAGUCCAAGCUCACC
This 200-nucleotide unclassified non-coding RNA is filed under the name Schizopora sp. RNAcentral describes it as "partial internal transcribed spacer 2". Lineage: Eukaryota; Fungi; Basidiomycota; Agaricomycetes; Hymenochaetales; Schizoporaceae. The record is from RNAcentral.